UUGCCCUACGGGGGGCAGCAGUGAGGAAUAUUGGUCAAUGGCCGAGAGGCUGAACCAGCCAAGUCGCGUGAGGGAUGACGGCCCUACGGGUUGUAAACCUCUUUUGUCGGGGAGCAAGACCCGCCUCGUGCAGGCGGAGCGAGAGUACCCGAAGAAAAAGCAUCGGCUAACUCCGUGCCAGCAGCCGCGGUAAUACGGAGGAUGCGAGAGUUAUCCGGAUUUAUUGGGUUUAAAGGGGGCGUAGGCGGUCUGUUAAG
This 257-nucleotide ribosomal RNA is filed under the name uncultured bacterium. Its description in RNAcentral is "partial 16S ribosomal RNA". It matches the Rfam family "Bacterial small subunit ribosomal RNA", at positions 334 to 587 of the family's 1533-position model. The record is from RNAcentral.